RNAcentral lists this transfer RNA (86 nucleotides) under Dracunculus medinensis (Guinea worm). RNAcentral describes it as "Selenocysteine transfer RNA". It matches the Rfam family "Selenocysteine transfer RNA". The record is from Rfam by way of RNAcentral. Lineage: Eukaryota; Metazoa; Nematoda; Chromadorea; Rhabditida; Dracunculidae.
GCCCGUAUGAUCCUCGGUGGUCCGAGGUGCAGGCUUCAAACUUGUAGCCGGUUAGCGCCGGAGUGGUUCGAUUCCACCUUGCGGGU